Molecule: transfer RNA, 82 nt
Filed under: Echinostoma caproni
Lineage: Eukaryota; Metazoa; Platyhelminthes; Trematoda; Plagiorchiida; Echinostomatidae
Rfam family: tRNA
About the family: Transfer RNA (tRNA) molecules are approximately 80 nucleotides in length.
Source: Rfam by way of RNAcentral
GGCUUCGUAGCUCAGCUAGUAGAGUGUGCGUGUACAAAGCUUAAGCGGCGUCCAUGCGUGGGUUCGAGUCCCACUGAGGCUA